AGCGGCAAACGGCGUAGUAAGGUGUAGGAACGUACCCUGAGGUCGAGGAUAGCCAAGGGAAACUUUGGGUAAUACUCGAUGAUCUCGUAAGAGCAAAGAUUUAUCGCCUUGGGAGCGGCCUGCAUGGUAUUAGCUAGUUGGUGAGGUAAUGGCUCACCAAGGCUACGAUGCCUAGGGGGUGUGAGAGCACGAUCCCCACGACUGGGACUGAGAUACUGCCCAGACACCUACGGGUGGCUGCAGUCGAGAAUCUUCGGCAAUGGGCGCAAGCCUGACCGAGCGACGCCGCGUGUGGGAUGAAGGCCCUUGGGUUGUAAACCACUGUCAGAGGGGAUGAAGCCGCAAGGUUGACAUAGCCUCAGAGGAAGCACGGGCUAAGUUCGUGCCAGCAGCCGCGGUAAUACGAACUGUGCAAACGUUAUUCGGAAUCACUGGGCUUAAAGGGUGCGUAGGCGGUCGUUUAAGUAGGGUGUGAAAGCCCGCAGCUCAACUGUGGAACUGCAUUCUAAACUGGACGACUCGAGUGGGAUAGGGGUGUGUGGAACUUCCGGUGGAGCGGUGAAAUGUGUUGAUAUCGGAAGGAACGCCGGUAGCGAAAGCGACACACUGGGUCUCAACUGACGCUGAGGCACGAAAGCCAGGGGAGCGAACGGGAUUAGAUACCCCGGUAGUCCUGGCCCUAAACGAUGAGGACUGAU
RNAcentral lists this ribosomal RNA (698 nucleotides) under uncultured bacterium. RNAcentral describes it as "bacterial SSU rRNA". It matches the Rfam family "Bacterial small subunit ribosomal RNA", at positions 94 to 820 of the family's 1533-position model. The record is from RNAcentral.